AGAGUUUGAUCAUGGCUCAGAAUCAACGCUGGCGGCGCGCUUAACACAUGCAAGUCGCACGAGAAAGUGGAGCAAUCCAUGAGUACAGUGGCGUACGGGUGAGUAACACGUGGAUCAUCUACCUUUUAGUGGGGAAUACCUCAUGGAAACGGGAGACAAUACCGCAUAAUCUCGCGAGAGGAAAGCAGCAAUGCGCUGAAAGAGGAGUCCGCGGCCGAUUAGCUAGUUGGCGGGGUAACGGCCCACCAAGGCGAAGAUCGGUAGCCGGCCUGAGAGGGCUCACGGCCACACUGGCACUGAAACACGGGCCAGACUCCUACGGGAGGCAGCAGUGGGGAAUCUUGCACAAUGGAGGAAACUCUGAUGCAGCGACGCCGCGUGAGCGAUGAAGCCCUUCGGGGUGUAAAGCUCUUUCGACGGGAACGAUAAUGACGGUACCCGAAGAAGAAGCUGCGGCUAACUACGUGCCAGCAGCCGCGGUAAUACGUAGGCAGCAAGCGUUGUUCGGAAUUACUGGGCGUAAAGAGUGUGUAGGCGGUGCUCUAAGUCUAUCGUGAAAUCUCCCGGCUUAACUGGGAGGGUGCGGCGGAAACUGGAGUGCUCGAGGGUGGGAGAGGAAAGCGGAAUUCCUGGUGUAGCGGUGAAAUGCGUAGAUAUCAGGAGGAACACCUGCGGUGUAGACAGCUUUCUGGACCACUUCUGACGCUGAGACACGAAAGCGUGGGUAGCAAACAGGAUUAGAUACCCUCGUAGUCC
Molecule: ribosomal RNA, 756 nt
Filed under: uncultured bacterium
Lineage: Bacteria
Description: bacterial SSU rRNA
Rfam family: Bacterial small subunit ribosomal RNA
Source: RNAcentral